UGCUGGGGAUGGAGAAUGCUAGGGCCAAAGUGGAAAAAGAAGAAGGAGAGGAAGAAGAAAAAGAAAGGAGGAGAAGCAGGAGGAGCAACAGCAGCAGCUGCAGCAGCUGCAGUAGCCAAAGUAUCCUCUGCCUUUUAGCAUCCCAAACACACCCUAAGAAUUCUGCACACGAAGAUUCAGCAGAGAUCCAGGCAUGGAAAUGAUUUUAAGUGAGCCUGACAGACACUCGAUAGCAUGUGGAAUUUUCAGAGGUUUUCUGGUACCCAGAGAAACUCUUGAAUUGCCAGCAACGUGGAACUCAAGUUGAGACUGCCAACCACGGACACCACUCCAUCUGCAGGCUCCCUGUUUCUGGAAUAAUCAUCAGAGUGUGAGAGGAUACAGAACUCUGGGCAACUGGGCAACUCCCCUUGUUAAAUCUCCCUGGCUCCUGGGACCAAGCUCCAGGCAGACGCGUGGCUGGUCCUUUCUUCACACUAAGUCAUGUCUGGCUGGCUUCUCACCACUUCCCCAGCUAUAGCUAGAUUUGUGUGGCUAUAAUAAUCUUCUCUCUUUCUCUCUCUCUCUCUCUCUCUCUCUCUCUCUCUCUCUCUCUCUCUCACCCUUCACCUCUCACCAAGUUCUUUUAUAAAAGAAAAUUUUUUAUUAUUUUAUUUUUACUUUAUGUGCAUUAAAGUGAGGAUGUCAGAUACCAUGAAACUGGAGUUACAGAUAGUUGUGAGCUGCCAUGUGAGUGCUUAGAAUUGAACCUGGGUCCUUUGCAAGAACAACCAGUGCUCUUAACCAUGAUCCAUCUCUCCAGCCCCCACCAAGUUCUUAUAAUCCAUUUCUUGCCACUAAAGAAAAAAAUUCCCCUAGAAAACACAAGAAACCUGUUAGGAGCAGCCAUUGUGGGAAAACAUUGAAUUCAUUUAUAUGCUUUAUCAACACCAGUAAAGCAGCCCUACUGAGUGCAGGACUGAGCCAGCAUCUGACACAAUUAACACACAUACACACACACACACACACACACACACACACAUACACACACACAUACACACACACACAUACACACACACAUACACACACACACACAUACACACACACAUACACACACACACACACACACACACACACACACACACACACACCGUUCUCCACACUGAACUAUGAGUCUGAGAAGCCUCCAGUGAGCCCUGACAGCACAACACCCCAGAGUACUCACAGGAGAAGGGACAACAGCGUGGUGUGGAUAUUCGUUCUGGGUAGCUGAGAAUGGUCUCCCAUCAAUCUCAGUUACCACAAUGCUAGGAAAUUCCCCACUAAAAUAUUAUUAGCUUGUUAAAGCUUUGUCAGGUCUUAGGAACCCCAAAUUAGCAUUUCAUCGAAGCAGAGAGAUACGGUCUCCUCUGUAAUGUGCGACGGUGUCCAGGCCCUAAGCUGCAGAAAGUUAAUUAAUUGCUGUCUGACAUGCUAAUGAGUGUUCAGUGUCUUCUCUCCAGCUCUGACUUACUCAGAGAGCCUCGUGUUGGCCCAAGAAGCUCUCGGCUUGCAUUCCUGCAUGGUGGACUAUAUGACAAAAAUGGACACAAUUUACUUUGAAAGGAAAUUUUUGUUGAGGCAAAGAAUAAAAAAAUGUUU
This 1620-nucleotide long non-coding RNA is filed under the name Mus musculus (house mouse). RNAcentral's name for it is "RIKEN cDNA B830042I05 gene". The record is from RNAcentral. Lineage: Eukaryota; Metazoa; Chordata; Mammalia; Rodentia; Muridae.